AGAGUUUGAUCAUGGCUCAGGACGAACGCUGGCGGCGUGCCUAAUACAUGCAAGUCGAGCGGACCAAUUAGAAAGCUUGCUUUUUGAUUGGUUAGCGGCGGACGGGUGAGUAACACGUGGGUAACCUGCCCUAUAGACCGGGAUAACUCGCGGAAACGCGUGCUAAUACCGGAUAACACAUCGAAGCGCAUGCUUCGGGGUUGAAAGAUGGUUCUGCUAUCACUAUAGGAUGGGCCCGCGGCGCAUUAGCUAGUUGGUGGGGUAACGGCCUACCAAGGCGACGAUGCGUAGCCGACCUGAGAGGGUGAUCGGCCACACUGGGACUGAGACACGGCCCAGACUCCUACGGGAGGCAGCAGUAGGGAAUCUUCCACAAUGGGCGAAAGCCUGAUGGAGCAACGCCGCGUGAGCGAAGAAGGUCUUCGGAUCGUAAAGCUCUGUUGUAAGGGAAGAACAAGCGCAGC
This 464-nucleotide ribosomal RNA is filed under the name Ureibacillus thermosphaericus. RNAcentral describes it as "bacterial SSU rRNA". It matches the Rfam family "Bacterial small subunit ribosomal RNA", at positions 8 to 459 of the family's 1533-position model. Lineage: Bacteria; Bacillati; Bacillota; Bacilli; Caryophanales; Caryophanaceae. The record is from RNAcentral.